GACGAACGCUGGCGGCGUGCCUAAUACAUGCAAGUUGAGCGCUGAAGGUUGGUACUUGUACCAACUGGAUGAGCAGCGAACGGGUGAGUAACGCGUGGGGAAUCUGCCUUUGAGCGGGGGACAACAUUUGGAAACGAAUGCUAAUACCGCAUAAAAACUUUAAACACAAGUUUUAAGUUUGAAAGAUGCAAUUGCAUCACUCAAAGAUGAUCCCGCGUUGUAUUAGCUAGUUGGUGAGGUAAAGGCUCACCAAGGCGAUGAUACAUAGCCAACCUGAGAGGGUGAUCGGCCACAUUGGGACUGAGACACGGCACAAACUCCUACGGGAGGCAGCAGUACGGAAUCUUCGGCAAUGGACGAAAGUCUGACCGAGCAACGCCGCGUGAGUGAAGAAGGUUUUCGGAUCGUAAAACUCUGUUGGUAGAGAAGAACGUUGGUGAGAGUGGAAAGCUCAUCAAGUGACGGUAACUACCCAGAAAGGGACGGCUAACUACGUG
Molecule: ribosomal RNA, 497 nt
Filed under: uncultured bacterium
Lineage: Bacteria
Description: partial 16S ribosomal RNA
Rfam family: Bacterial small subunit ribosomal RNA
Source: RNAcentral